Molecule: long non-coding RNA, 209 nt
Filed under: Carica papaya (papaya)
Lineage: Eukaryota; Viridiplantae; Streptophyta; Magnoliopsida; Brassicales; Caricaceae
Description: long non-coding RNA (CPAP_LNC010433)
Source: RNAcentral
GGCUCUCCGGGACGGUGGCUUCUCUGGCUCACGUUGCGGUUGGGUGUUUCGCUUUGGUCAACCUGUAGAGCAGAAAACAGUGAUCACAACAGUGAAAAUAUUAUGCGAAAUGGGAAUCGGGAAGGGCCUCAUGGGAGUUGCUUUGUGAAAUUCUCCGCGGUAGUGUCGCCGGGCUUCAUCGGUAUUUUUUGAUUAAUUAGCCGAUCCUU